This 310-nucleotide ribosomal RNA is filed under the name Staphylococcus aureus. Its description in RNAcentral is "bacterial SSU rRNA". It matches the Rfam family "Bacterial small subunit ribosomal RNA", at positions 969 to 1278 of the family's 1533-position model. The record is from RNAcentral. Lineage: Bacteria; Bacillati; Bacillota; Bacilli; Caryophanales; Staphylococcaceae.
CCUUACCAAAUCUUGACAUCCUUUGACAACUCUAGAGAUAGAGCCUUCCCCUUCGGGGGACAAAGUGACAGGUGGUGCAUGGUUGUCGUCAGCUCGUGUCGUGAGAUGUUGGGUUAAGUCCCGCAACGAGCGCAACCCUUAAGCUUAGUUGCCAUCAUUAAGUUGGGCACUCUAAGUUGACUGCCGGUGACAAACCGGAGGAAGGUGGGGAUGACGUCAAAUCAUCAUGCCCCUUAUGAUUUGGGCUACACACGUGCUACAAUGGACAAUACAAAGGGCAGCGAAACCGCGAGGUCAAGCAAAUCCCAUA